This is a long non-coding RNA of Mastomys coucha (southern multimammate mouse), 1820 nucleotides long. RefSeq lists it as uncharacterized. The record is from RefSeq and is a predicted model, not a curated record. The transcript has 2 exons. Lineage: Eukaryota; Metazoa; Chordata; Mammalia; Rodentia; Muridae.
UGCUGCUUAGGAAAGUCCCGAAAAUACCAGGGGGAGGAGGAGCCGGAGGGGGCGGGCCUGGAAAUGACGCCGGGGCCCCGCCCCCGCGGUUCCUGGUUCCCCGGCAGCCGCUGCAGCCCCCGGGGCUCAGUCGGGGCCUAGCCUGCCUCGCCCCCUCUCCGCAGCCUGGAGCAAACGGGAUUUUCAGCCAGCGUGGAGGGUACGGCUGAUUCACCCAGGGGCUUUUGUGGGGACAUUCCUGCCGUCGGAGGCCCACCUUUCCGAAUGGCCCGUAGGCGGGGGCUCUUCCAGGGGGGCCUCCGGGGUUUCUGCCCAGAGAUUGUGAUUCGGGCCGCGGGGUGGGGUGGGGAGGAAGGAGUUUCCCCCUCCACGGUCUCUAGCCAUGCCGUCUUAGCUUCCCGGAUUCUCCGGUCGCACCUGCUCCGAGUGGCCGCACCCCGCCCUCCCUGGCGACCCCAGUCCCAAAGCCAGGGCAACGCGCGCGCGUGCCCGCUGCAAGGAUCUGCGUCUCAGCCCUAAAGUCUGUGUGCCGGGAGAGUGGUGGCAACGUGGCAGGUGCAAGCGAGCGUUCGUCCACCCAGGGGUCUGGACCCGGCCACUCACCGUGGUGGCGGCUCUGGUUCCGACUUCUUUCCGAGCCCUUCCCCGGACCGCUCGCUGCUCCUCUCCAGCCAAAGGGCUCCAGCCGGGAAAGCCCCUUUCGGCCCCCCGAGGGGGGGAAUUCCCGUGACGAUCCCGUGCGUCACUCCCCAUGCCCCUCCUUAUUGGUUGAAAGUUUAACUUCAGGACUCUUGUAGCCAACCCUGAGCGACGCAGGCGCGCCCCUUUCGGGGAAGGCUCGCCCGGGUCUGGCCGCGGGGUGUCACCCAGCGCCAGUUCUGCUCGGGACCGGCGAGGCCGGACGGCGGACCCAGCGCACCCAGCGCAGGGCGCGGCUCGGAUCCUUGCACCCUUCCUGGCUUGCCGGGGACCGCUACGGAGUCCAGCGGGCCACUUGGCUGUCGCUAUGCCCGGAGCGUGGCUACUUCUGAAACAAGGGACACCGGGUCCGCGCCUACACUCCAGUCACCCUCCCAGAGAGGGACCUCGUAGCAGGGAAGUAAGGGGAAGAGGAAGGAGCCGUUCUUGCGGUCAUCUCCAGAUCGCCAUCUAGCGGCCUUUCUGGAGCCGCAAGGAAACUCUGGGGUCAACUGUCUUAGUUUCCAGGCUUCAGGAAGAGAGUCCUGAUGUUGAUUCUGUGAGUGGCGGGUUCACAAGGGCCAAAGCUUUCAGGAGGACCCAUUGGAGUCAUGGGAUGACCAGUACACUGGUGGAAGAAAAGAAGGAAGAGAAGAUGCAUGGCUGAGAGUCUUAGGCCUUGUUCAUCCACCACAGAUGUCUCAACUAUUUGAGUCGAAAGGCGUCCAACCGGGUGUAGCGAAAUGCACCUGCAGUCCCCAGCUUACUUGAAGCUGAGACAGACAGAUCCCAAAUCUCACAUCACCCCGUCUCAACACACAGGCACACAAAGGUGGCCAGAGCUAUUUCAGACUUCCUCCUCUGUGGAAAAUUGCCAGUGGUGUGCUUCGCAUGGGUGAGGGCCCACUGUUUCCAUCAUAAAGGGGGUGGAUGACUGGGGAGACAAGGCAACAUGGAAGCACUCCUGCUCUUCCACAGGAUGAAGUUUUCUGUUCCAAGUGUCUGAAACUGCAACACUGGGAUCCCCUGGCCCUCUCCUCGCUUCUGGGAAACUGAAUUCAGGUGCACACUGUUCAAUUCUUGACCACCCACUCCCAACCCCCAAGCCCAUGUGAUUACAAAUAAGAAAUAAAAUCUUUUUA